Long non-coding RNA from Syngnathoides biaculeatus (alligator pipefish), 929 nucleotides. RefSeq lists it as uncharacterized. The transcript has 5 exons. Lineage: Eukaryota; Metazoa; Chordata; Actinopteri; Syngnathiformes; Syngnathidae. The record is from RefSeq and is a predicted model, not a curated record.
CCCUCUGAAACGAACAAUGAAAAAGCUUGUAGCGGAUAAAGUGGUUGCACUAGUGUCCACACCCUCAUAAUUGGGGAUGUGGUUGUGUGCAGAGUGACCAAUCGCAUUCAAAAUCAUGUUCAGUGAGAGUCAGCACACACCUGCCACUGAUUCACCUCAAAUUAAGUUCAGAUGUUCUAGGAGGUCUUUUCUGACUUAUUUUUUUAUCCUUUUUUCACGUUAUGCAUUAUUACUCAACAUAUGUAUACACACUGCAUGUGGAAAACAAAAAAAUAUAUAAACAUUACAAAAAUACUUAUUCUCACUAAUAUUUUUUUACUGCAAGUCGCAAAGAAAAAAAAAAAAAAGCUUUGUACCCAGAUGUAUGACUACCGUAAUUUCACACGCUUUCAACCCUACAAUUUAUGCGGCUAAUUUGUGCAAGGGAGCACUCGAGCGGAAAAGGCACUUGAUCAGGGAUGUGUAGAGUUUCUCUAUUCACUGUACCUUGAAAAGGUUCUCCUUCUUUUUGGGGUGUGCGGUGCUCCAACGCGGCGGCGAGGCCGACUGCAGCAGAAUCUUGCUGACCUCCAAACCUGACUGCAGCUGAGGAACGGACGGGAAGAACAGCUUGACGCUCACGUCAAAAUUUCAGCUCCAGUUCAUGAAUCUUCACCUGAAAUGAUGUCAAUCCUGUUACUGAGCGUUGUGCAACAUCUUCUUCAUGUGAUCGAGCUGACGCUCCAGGCUCAAGCAGCGAGACUCUGCAGCCGCAAGCUGGGUCACUAACGCUGCAGAAAAAUAGAACAUUGGACUGAUUAUCCGUUACUCUCCAUGCAUCCAUCUGAGAAGUUGAAGUCAUCUUUGUCAUUCUAACGGCGUGCGGACGCGGCGUGUCUCUCCUCACGGGGUGUCCGGUAGUCUGUCUGCGGUUAUUCUCCAGCUCCAAC